CUCGCGACCCGUGUGUGGCGAUCCCUGCCCCGCUCCCCAGCAGGCCUGCGGCCGCCAGAGGGCGACGCCGCCCAGCUUGCGGCUACUCACGUCUCUGCACUGCUGGGUGUCCGCGGCCAGGACGCUGGCGACCGUCUUGGUGACGGCGACAUUGGCAGGCUUGGAGCAGGCGCCGAGAACAGAGUUGGAGGGAAUCAUUGCUGUGAGAAGCUGACAGUGGUGGAUGACAAGCUUGAAUUUCCAGAGGAAAUAGCAUGUCUGUGAAACUCACCCAUGCCAUCUGGAAAGGAAAAAGUUAAGUUGCAUUUCUGCAAUACAUUCUCUCCCUUCCCUGAGAUGCUCCUGGAAUAUAAAGAAAGCAAGUGAGUUGAACUAAUCCUCUUAUAAACAUACUAACGAUAAAUCUCCCAGUAAAACAACAACAAUAACAAUAAAGGUCUUCUGCUAACAAAAGAGUCUUUUCCUAUGUGAAGUUUUAGUAGAAUGUGCUUAAUUGUCUGGAAUUAUUUAUAGUAAGCAAACAGAAGUAUAUGGACUUACGCAUAACGGCUCCUUGGAAAAUGUUAUAUUAUAUAUGUAACUCUUUCUGUAGAAAAUAUCUGUCUCCUUUCA
Molecule: long non-coding RNA, 612 nt
Organism: Gorilla gorilla gorilla (western lowland gorilla)
Lineage: Eukaryota; Metazoa; Chordata; Mammalia; Primates; Hominidae
Exons: 3
Source: RefSeq, a predicted model, not a curated record